AAUGGACUAGUUCCUCCUUAGA
Molecule: transfer RNA, 22 nt
Filed under: Isabellaria thermopylarum faueri
Lineage: Eukaryota; Metazoa; Mollusca; Gastropoda; Stylommatophora; Clausiliidae
Description: partial tRNA-Met
Source: RNAcentral